AAACCAACAAAGAAUAGGUGCACCUAUCAAAGCCCAUUGUAUUUUUCAAAUUAAUUCCCUACAAUCCCUUUGCUUAUGACCCCAAAAGUAUUUCAACAACAUAUAUAAGUUAAUAUCAAAGUAGAUACAUUAACAGGUCAUCUUAUUGACGUCAAUUUGAUAUCAGCAAAUGUAUAAAUCACAUUUUAGACUCAUGACAAAAUCAACCCACAUAAUGAUGACAUACCAAUAUUUACAAGCACGAAACUAUGCAAACAAAGUAAAAGAAAUAAGAAACGAACCUUCUUUGAAAAAAUUCUUUUCAGACAAACAAGUUGAAUUAAUGUGGAAUCUCCCAGCAACAGAAAAACUCAACAAUCAGAGGAAAGCAACGAUGGGAAAAGACCCAAUGACUGGUACACAGGACCACGACGGAGAUCCAAACAAAGAAGUUCGACGCCGACCCCGAACUCAGCUUUUGGAGGUGCUGCUUUUUGCUAUUUUUAGCUGGAUUUCGGUUGAUGUUUUGGAGGUUGUUCGGCUGAAUUUUUGGUGGUGAAGGAAGCUGCUAUACUGUUGGUUUUAAUGGAGUUCGGUAGUGGCGUCGCCGGUGUUAGCCCGCCAGCAAGAUCUGAAAGCUCCCAUCGUCAUCAACAUCUCCAGCGAAGUCGACACGACGGGCAUCUCUAAUGAAGAGCUUCUGCCAUCACCGUCUGAAGGAGAGAGAGAGAGAGAGAGAUUUGAGUAGUAAGGGAGCUUUUUAUAGAAAUGGAGUUACGUUCUUUUGCAAAUCAGAUCCCUUCUGGGAGGGAAAACAUUUGCCUUAUUUUGUUUGUUUUUUUAUGUGUGUUGAUCGAAGAAGAAGAGUGAAUGGUGAGAGAGGUUCUAGGACUCUAGAUUUCUUUUUGGUGGUGUUUUUCAUUUUUGAAGAAGAAUGGGCAACUGUUGUGGGGUCUGCGACAGAUUUCAUGGAGAUGGGUUUUAGGUACUAUUAUAUAGAGUGAGAAUUAGGUUAGUGGUACGAGCCUAGAAAUUACGUGUUUAGAAAUUAUACGUUAGAUCCAAAAAUUAGGCUUAAAAUGAGUUGUUUGAAUUCGAAUUUAUUUUUUCCCU
This 1092-nucleotide long non-coding RNA is filed under the name Nicotiana benthamiana. RNAcentral describes it as "long non-coding RNA (NBEN_LNC033124)". The record is from RNAcentral. Lineage: Eukaryota; Viridiplantae; Streptophyta; Magnoliopsida; Solanales; Solanaceae.